Notolabrus celidotus (New Zealand spotty) is the source of this 1264-nucleotide long non-coding RNA. RefSeq lists it as uncharacterized. The record is from RefSeq and is a predicted model, not a curated record. NCBI's taxonomy places the organism in Eukaryota, Metazoa, Chordata, Actinopteri, Labriformes, Labridae. The transcript has 4 exons.
UUUUAGGACAGCCAAUAGCUACUUUCCUCACUGAGAAGGUGGGAACACGAGCCAGAGGAGGAUUUGGGAAUGGAGCUGCAGGGAGUGCACAAUGUUUGCUGGUUAUUUAAGAAAGCGAACAGGAUGAAGAGGAGAGCAAGGCUUAGACCUGAGGCCGAGGCCACCGAGUUUAUUUCAUCCUGAGAGGACACACCCUGUCAAGAGGUUCGAUGGAUCAAUGACUUUAAAGACAGCAUGGAGGACACUCCUGCCUCAGCCAAUCUGGACAACAUGGAGGUUUCUUCUAAGUCAACCACCCUGGAAACCUUAAAGCGAUUCCAACCAAGACAGGGUAAACUAAGAAAGGCACACAAAUACAAUGUCAUUUGAAGUGACUUUGAUUUUAUUUGUUAUCUUUUUGAUGAAAACAAAUCUCAUUCCUUGCUUUACCUUCACAGGAAUGUGUGCAUUAUGUAUUCUAAUUCAUCUUUUCAGAUCUCCAGCAGAACACAACAUUUCAGUGACAUCCCAUGCUUCCUCAAAAUUCAUCAAUGGAAAGCAAGAUAAACAUUUUUUGUAUUUACUUUACUCUAGUAGGAAAAUGUAUUGAUGUGUGUCAGACACUUUCUUCCAACUAAAAACUAGAAUCUUUUCUUUCACAUACGCCAUGUGUCAAUUAAGCAGACUCAAAGUUUCCUCGCUAAUACAUCUUUUGUUUCCAUUAACAACAGCUGUGAAGGUGAAAAGUGGUCUGUUGAGCGGCACUUUAUGCAUUUCGUAACAAGCUGUGAAGUACCAGGUAAAAGGACUGUGACUCUUGUAUCCAGGCAGAGAGAGCAGCUCUGGCAGACAGAGACUGGACUGCAAUCAAAGACUACAUUCACAACGGAACCGUAGCAUCAAAAAGGAAGAUGAAUGGAAAGAUCUAGGUCAUUUCAACUGUGAUCAAGCUUUCUGUCCUUGCAUUCCGCAAUCCUUAGAGCCAGCACUGCCGGCUCCUAGAACAGGUUCAAACACAAGGUCUGCAGCUUAAAGUAAGGACGAAUGAAAUCACAUGGGAGCCUGAUAUAGAACGUCACUAUUCACCUUUCAAUCUCCAGCUUAUACCCUGCAUUUACAUGGAUUCAGGCAGAUGGUUGUUGGCAGAUGGACAACACCUUCAGGAAGGGCCCUGGAUAUUAAACAAAGAGUUCUAUAAAGGGAAGGCAGGAUGUAUCAUGGUAAAAUAUCUCCCUGGUUUUGAUGUAUUGGAAACUGAAAGAGAAAUAAAAUAUAUCAAACAAAG